UACGGAGGGUGCAAGCGUUGUCCGGAUUUAUUGGGUUUAAAGGGUGCGUAGGCUGCGGUUUAAGUCAGCGGUGAAAGUUUGGGGCUCAACCUUAAAAACGCCGAUGAUACUGGACUGCUUGAGUGCCGGUAGGGUACAUGGAAUUUAUGGUGUAGCGGUGAAAUGCAUAGAUACCAUAAGGAACACCGAUAGCGUAGGCAUUGUACUGACCGGCAACUGACGCUGAUGCACGAAAGCGUGGGUAG
This 245-nucleotide ribosomal RNA is filed under the name uncultured Indibacter sp. RNAcentral's name for it is "partial 16S ribosomal RNA". It matches the Rfam family "Bacterial small subunit ribosomal RNA", at positions 524 to 768 of the family's 1533-position model. Lineage: Bacteria; Pseudomonadati; Bacteroidota; Cytophagia; Cytophagales; Cyclobacteriaceae. The record is from RNAcentral.